Molecule: ribosomal RNA, 253 nt
Filed under: uncultured bacterium
Lineage: Bacteria
Description: partial 16S ribosomal RNA
Rfam family: Bacterial small subunit ribosomal RNA
Source: RNAcentral
UACGUAGGGGGCAAGCGUUGUCCGGAUUUAUUGGGCGUAAAGCGCUCGCAGGCGGUCCCGUGCGUCGUGCGUGAAAGGCCCCGGCUCAACCGGGGGCGGUCGUGCGAUACGGCGGGACUGGAGGCCAGUAGGGGGACGCGGAAUUCCGGGUGUAGCGGUGAAAUGCGUAGAUAUACGGAGGAACACCAGGGGCGAAGGCGGAUCGCUGGGCCAACACUGACGCUGAUGUGCGAAAGCUAGGGGAGCAAACGGG